GAUCCCAUCGAUUAGUGGUUAGAUCAUCACGUUGUGGCCGUGGGGACGCGUGUUCAAUUCACGCUGGGGUCA
RNAcentral lists this transfer RNA (72 nucleotides) under Botryobasidium botryosum FD-172 SS1. RNAcentral describes it as "tRNA-His (GTG) (tRNA-His-GTG-1-1, tRNA-His-GTG-1-2)". It matches the Rfam family "tRNA". From Rfam's summary of the family: Transfer RNA (tRNA) molecules are approximately 80 nucleotides in length. Their secondary structure includes four short double-helical elements and three loops (D, anti-codon, and T loops). Further hydrogen bonds mediate the characteristic L-shaped molecular structure. tRNAs have two regions of fundamental functional importance: the anti-codon, which is responsible for specific mRNA codon recognition, and the 3' end, to which the tRNAs corresponding amino acid is attached (by aminoacyl-tRNA synthetases). tRNAs cope with the degeneracy of the genetic code in two manners: having more than one tRNA (with a specific anti-codon) for a particular amino acid; and 'wobble' base-pairing, i.e. permitting non-standard base-pairing at the 3rd anti-codon position. Lineage: Eukaryota; Fungi; Basidiomycota; Agaricomycetes; Cantharellales; Botryobasidiaceae. The record is from RNAcentral.